This 73-nucleotide transfer RNA is filed under the name Bacteriophage sp. RNAcentral's name for it is "tRNA-Ile". It matches the Rfam family "tRNA". Rfam says of the family: Transfer RNA (tRNA) molecules are approximately 80 nucleotides in length. Their secondary structure includes four short double-helical elements and three loops (D, anti-codon, and T loops). Further hydrogen bonds mediate the characteristic L-shaped molecular structure. tRNAs have two regions of fundamental functional importance: the anti-codon, which is responsible for specific mRNA codon recognition, and the 3' end, to which the tRNAs corresponding amino acid is attached (by aminoacyl-tRNA synthetases). tRNAs cope with the degeneracy of the genetic code in two manners: having more than one tRNA (with a specific anti-codon) for a particular amino acid; and 'wobble' base-pairing, i.e. permitting non-standard base-pairing at the 3rd anti-codon position. The record is from RNAcentral.
UCUUCCUUAGUUCAAUAGGUAGAACAUCUGAUUUAUAAUCAGAAAGUUAUUAGUUCAAAUCUAAUAGGAAGAG